UACAGAGGGGGCAAGCGUUGUUCGGAAUUACUGGGCGUAAAGGGCGCGUAGGCGGCCUGCUAAGUCGAACGUGAAAUCCCUGGGCUCAACCCAGGAACUGCGUCCGAUACUGGUUGGCUUGAAUCCGGGAGAGGGAUGUGGAAUUCCAGGUGUAGCGGUGAAAUGCGUAGAUAUCUGGAGGAACACCGGUGGCGAAGGCGGCGUCCUGGACCAAAACUGACACUGAUGAGCGAAAGCCAGGGGAGCAAACGGG
RNAcentral lists this ribosomal RNA (253 nucleotides) under uncultured bacterium. RNAcentral's name for it is "partial 16S ribosomal RNA". It matches the Rfam family "Bacterial small subunit ribosomal RNA", at positions 524 to 776 of the family's 1533-position model. The record is from RNAcentral.